This 257-nucleotide ribosomal RNA is filed under the name uncultured bacterium. RNAcentral's name for it is "partial 16S ribosomal RNA". It matches the Rfam family "Bacterial small subunit ribosomal RNA", at positions 29 to 312 of the family's 1533-position model. The record is from RNAcentral.
AGCGAACGCUGGCGGCAGGCCUAACACAUGCAAGUCGAGCGGGCACCUUCGGGUGUCAGCGGCAGACGGGUGAGUAACACGUGGGAACGUGCCCUUUGGUUCGGGACAACUCCGGGAAACUGGAGCUAAUACCGGAUAAGCCCUUCGGGGAAAGAUUUAUCGCCAAAGGAUCGGCCCGCGGUCUGAUUAGCUAGUUGGUGAGGUAAUGGCUCACCAAGGCGACGAUCAGUAGCUGGUCGAGAGGAUGAUCAGCCACA